AGUGAACGCUGGCGGUAGGCCUGACACAUGCAAGUCGAACGGCAGCACAGUAAGAGCUUGCUCUUACGGGUGGCGAGUGGCGGACGGGUGAGGAAUACAUCGGAAUCUACUUUUUCGUGGGGGAUAACGUAGGGAAACUUACGCUAAUACCGCAUACGACCUACGGGUGAAAGCAGGGGAUCUUCGGACCUUGCGCGAUUGAAUGAGCCGAUGUCGGAUUAGCUAGUUGGCGGGGUAAAGGCCUACCAAGGCGACGAUCCGUAGCUGGUCUGAGAGGAUGAUCAGCCACACUGGAACUGAGACACGGUCCAGACUCCUACGGGAGGCAGCAGGGGGGAAUAUUGGACAAUGGGCGCAAGCCUGAUCCAGCCAUACCGCGUGGGUGAAGAAGGCCUUCGGGUUGUAAAGCCCUUUUGUUGGGAAAGAAAAGCAGCAGGUUAAUACCCCGCUGUUCUGACGGUACCCAAAGAAUAAGCACCGGCUAACUUCGUG
This 492-nucleotide ribosomal RNA is filed under the name uncultured bacterium. RNAcentral describes it as "partial 16S ribosomal RNA". It matches the Rfam family "Bacterial small subunit ribosomal RNA", at positions 29 to 507 of the family's 1533-position model. The record is from RNAcentral.